AUGGCUUCCUUGGUUUUAUUUUCACAUUUGGUGAGUUCAGUACGUGGUAAUAUUUGCUGACAGUGUCCUACACUUCAUGAUCCUACAUACAGGGAAAUGGGCCAAUUAAAAACAAUGGACAUGCAAGUCCAAGUGAAUCUGUUUAUUAGACGCUGCUGUGGCACUGAACAGGACAACUGUCCACAGGCACACUAAAUUUAACAUAGCAUUCGUAAAAGAAACGCAUGAAACAAGACCAGUAUGUAGAAGAUCUAGACAAGAAGAAAAACAAACUGUUGGGGGGAGUUUCUCUUCUGCACUGUUCAACCAAUCCAGUAAAUGUGGAGGAGGAGUUAUAGUGUCUCUUGGUUAACAGUGUUUCUAAACAUACUGUACCGUCUCUGUUGUUAACAUGUCACAGGCUCACUUUCCCCUUCCCCUGUUGUUGGGGACUCCGAAGCUGCUACAGGCACACAGACUAUCCAGUCUAAGUAGUUAAGACUAAUUAACGUCAUUAUACUGUCAAUGUCCCACACCACUAGGGCGACAUCUGCCAUAGCAGCAAGAUAGUGUUCUGCUGUCACGAAGUCUAGAAUGAUUACAUUAAGAGCCUCAACAGCAUGAUUGCUUAUCUCCAGUGAAUCUAGAUUUCGCUAGAGCGUAUUUUCAUUUUGACAACCAUACUCUCUGGCCGGCUCCUACUGUAGUGCAGCAGCUGAACACUACGUCUGUGGUUGCCUUUUUUUUUUUACAUACAACAUUAAUGUAUUGUGUAAUAUUGCAUAUUUCACCUCUAUUCACUUAAAACUGUCCAGACUAUUUCUGAAAAUGAAACAGACUACAUCAGGGCUCUCCAACCCUGUUCCUGGAGAGCUACCGACCUGUAGGUUCACACCCCAACCCUGUUCCCGGAGAGCUACUGUCCUGUAGGUUCACACUCCAACCCUGUUCCCGGAGAGCUACUGUCCUGUAGGUUCACACUCCAACCCUGUUCCUGGAGAGCUACCGACCUGUAGGUUUAAACUCCAACCCUGUUCCCGGAGAGCUACCGACCUGUAGGUUUAAACUCCAACCCUGUUCCUGGAGAGCUACCGACCUGUAGGUUUAAACUCCAACCCUGUUCCUGGAGAGCUACCAUCCUGUAGGUUUUCACUCCAACCCUGUUCCUAAAGAGCUACCGACCUGUAGGUUUU
Oncorhynchus tshawytscha (Chinook salmon) is the source of this 1172-nucleotide long non-coding RNA. The record is from Ensembl. Lineage: Eukaryota; Metazoa; Chordata; Actinopteri; Salmoniformes; Salmonidae.